RNAcentral lists this non-coding RNA (25 nucleotides) under Rattus norvegicus (Norway rat). The record is from RNAcentral. Lineage: Eukaryota; Metazoa; Chordata; Mammalia; Rodentia; Muridae.
UAAUUGAGGAUGUGGUUCGCAAAGA